UUGGUGUGGGGGCAGUUUUUAUGUUCUAUAAUACAAAGCAUACUAAAUGGAAUAAAUGGAAAUUUAGAGUCACAGUUAAACAUUCGACUUAUGUCUUCUCUUUUAAGCAUUUUAAACUACCUCUAUUAUAUUGAUUUUUAGAAGAAUUGUUUUCUAAAGAAAACUGCUUCCUGAUGUUGGCGCAGUGCUGUGUUUAGUCAUUCCUCCCAAUGCCAGUGAUCCCUUAAAUCUGGGUGUUGUCCAUCAUCAUCCCUGCCCGUCUCCGUGCAUCCACAACUGCCACAUCCUGAGAGCUCAGUCCAUCAUAAAUGCAAUUAUAGCCUUUUACCUCCUCCUCACCAGAUACUCUCUACAGGGCAAGUUCAUCAAACUGUGUGCUUAGAAGCUCUGGAGCAGAACUCUCACCCACCAGAAGAUUGCCUCAAGAGAUAAAAGAUGAUUUACAACCCAAAGUAUGCCCACUAGAGGUUUUGGCCAUUUUUACAAUGUAUUCCUGCCCAUGAAGAUGCCAACUUGACUGCCCAAUACAUAAAGCACCAAAGCAAGUAUGCGGACCCCCCCACACCUCCUCACUUCUGCUCCUGUGUAGACCCCCAUCUUUAAAAGCACUUACUUUCUCCUGCAAAAGCAAAUCAGACCCUUACAGCAGGAAGGCUUUUCUUCUUCUCCUAAACUAGCUUUGGAAUAAAAAGUUAUUUUCUUUA
This 704-nucleotide long non-coding RNA is filed under the name Homo sapiens (human). Its description in RNAcentral is "HSALNT0380708". The record is from RNAcentral. Lineage: Eukaryota; Metazoa; Chordata; Mammalia; Primates; Hominidae.